Molecule: non-coding RNA, 73 nt
Organism: Ilyonectria robusta
Lineage: Eukaryota; Fungi; Ascomycota; Sordariomycetes; Hypocreales; Nectriaceae
Source: the annotation of a RefSeq genome assembly
GGUAUAUUAGCUUAAUGGAUAGAGUUUUCCUCUAGCUAAGGAAACGAUCUAGGUUUAAAUCCCGGGUGUACCU